This is a non-coding RNA of Misgurnus anguillicaudatus (oriental weatherfish), 1054 nucleotides long. The record is from RefSeq and is a predicted model, not a curated record. NCBI's taxonomy places the organism in Eukaryota, Metazoa, Chordata, Actinopteri, Cypriniformes, Cobitidae.
GGUCGGACGGCAACGUCGUCUCCCUGGCCAAAAGAGGUCGCGGCAGGACGCCACAAAUGGUGUACUAUUGGUCCGAAAUCAACGUCGUCUCCCCGUCCAAAAUUUGUCGGUGCUGGACGGCACAAAUGCACAACAUGUCCUAAAAUGCAUUUAUGUAGUCCUUGUGAAAUAUGCAAAUGCUGUGCGUACACCUUGGUUAAUACUGCAAUAAUUAAUUUAAGUGAACAAAGUAUAUUUUUAAGAGGUUAUGAAUAGACGUCCACUCGCGUCUUUUACACGUCUAGACUAGACUCGUAGGAAAAAAAACAUAAUAAUCUUUAUGAAAUACACGAUUUGUAUGCAAAGUAAAUAUAUUAACUUUAUCUUGUUUAAAUAAAUUAUAAUCACAAAGUGCCCAGUGUGAUUGCAAAGCAACACUGCAUUUUAGUCAUUAUUUCACCUGUUUUAUUAUUGAAUGUAUGCAUAUAAAUGUAAAACAGAUACAUAUCCGGUCACCAUUUAGGUGUGAGUUGGAUGUAAUUUCAAAAACUGUGAUUCCAAUAUUAUUUUAAGAAAUAUAUUACAAAAUCCCGCGAUAGGACAGAUUAUCUCGCGAGAUAGUGGUCACGUCACGCGUUCUUCCGGAAGUUCACAUUCAAACACGAGGAGCGAUUACGAGGGAGUUUUGUCUAUAUAUUAUGCAAAAUCUACUGUUGGAAAAAGUAGAACCUCAUCCAAAUAAAAAUAAACAAGCUGUUAAAGGCACUGUGUCCUACACAGACCCUUCAAAAUAUAACCACCCAAAACCCAAGUCAGUUGAAGAUCAACACAAACCAAAUAAAGAUGCGCAUUCUACAAACAAUAACAAAAGAUCAAGUUUUGUGUGCAACACACUUGGAUGAGACGUGCCCGAUCCCUGACUUUGUCUACCCUACAUUAAGUUGCACACUUCAUGACAGUAAACAUCGGUAUCAAGAUGGUGUGAUUGAUCUAUACCCUGGCCUAGAAUAAGCUGUGACACUAUGAGACGGUCACAUAAUGAACAGCCAUCUUACAGACAACCGAAAGAGGCAUA